Molecule: ribosomal RNA, 448 nt
Filed under: uncultured bacterium
Lineage: Bacteria
Description: partial 16S ribosomal RNA
Rfam family: Bacterial small subunit ribosomal RNA
Source: RNAcentral
AACGAACGCUGGCGGCAUGCUUAACACAUGCAAGUCGAACGAGACCUUCGGGUCUAGUGGCGCACGGCUGAGUAACGCGUAGGAACGUACCCCAAAGUGAGGGAUAAGCACCAGAAAUGGUGUCUAAUACCGCAUGUGGUCUUCAGAUUAAAGCUUCGGCGCUUUGGGAACGGCCUGCGUAUGAUUAGUUUGUUGGUGAGGUAAUGGCUCAGCAAGACUAUGAUCAUUAGCUUGUCUGAGAGGAUGAUCAGCCAGACUGGGACUGAGAACGGCCCAGACUCCUACGGGAGGCAGCAGUAGGGAAUUUUCCACAAUGGACGAAAGUCUGAUGGAGCAACGCCGCGUGCAGGAUGAAUGCCUUCGGGUUGUAAACUGCUUUUAUAUGUGAGGACAUCGACGGUAGCAUAUGAAUAAGGAUCGGCUAACUCCGUGCCAGCAGCCGCCGUAA